UCCACAGGGUCCGUUGCUGAGUAGUACAAGUAAGGGAUGCAGGGAGAAUCCGAGGACGACGGACCUUCAAGGACCUGCCAGGUGUAGAUAAAGGUUUCCCCCGGACCAACGUGGGCGCCAGGCUUGUCAACACCUUAUUCACGGAAAGAACUGAAAUCAGGAAAUACAAUAGAGCGAUUCACGUCGGUCGCCAUCUGGCCCACAGAACUGUAGCUGAGUGAUUCAGACUCGCUUCACGAACCUACAAGAACUGACUGGUUGUCGCUGAGGACGUGAAUCACGUUCGCGCUGCACUCACUCACUUAUUCAGAAUUGGGACUCGCGAUUCACGAACCUACUGACACAGAGAACUGACUGUGUCGCAGAGAAGGACGUCACAUUGAGGCUCUCGUUCAGUCACUCAGUUAAUUGGGUGCUGAGGGCUUGGGUCGUUCGCGAACUGACACACACCGAGAUCUGCCGCUGGGGAAGCUGUUACUGACUGACUCAUGAUUCGCCGACCUGCAAACAGAACUGCUGCUGCAGAAGUGAUUCGGUGAACAAAAUUUUGAACGAAUCAAUUUAAGGAACUGAUUCUAGUGAUUCAGUACAUAAGUAAGACCGCACGCACACAAAUAGGCGCAUCCUGAAAAUAUGGUCAGAGAGAAGGUUGAAAAUGGUCUGUAAAACAAAAUCUAUGCAAAAUUCUGACCAGAGAACCACCCUUACACGUUAUGGAGACCCCAAGGAAGGGUUUUGAAUGUAGAAAAAAAAAAAUCAUAAUAUAUGACCCCUUUAAGAUACUAACAAAUGCAGUUUUUUGCCGUCAUUUAGCUGGUGAUUAUUAGAUAAGGGCAACUACCCCACACUGUGUAUGGACACAUGAUUAGCUGCUAGCUAAAAAAUAAAUACAGUGUCAGCCAGAGGAGACCUGCAUUUGUGUUCGGCAUUAAAAAGCAUUAAUCGGCAAUAGUGAAUACUUACUUUUUUACAAAAAUCCCGUUCCUAAUAUGUAUGGUAUAUUUUAUCCACAUCUCAAUUCACUUGAUGGACACAAUGCUUUUUUUCUGUUGAUGAGUUUGUUUGUUAACUAAAAAACACAACUGAUUUCUGUGAAACUUUGUAAAUGGUUCGAGAAAUUAUUUCCACUUUUGGCUGUUUGAGUCUCUUGAUCUAAGUUUGCUUUGGUUAAGUACUGAGGUUACACUGCUCUUUGAUGAGAUAACUGCUCCAUUGAUCACCAUUAAUUUAAAAUUAGCAUCAGAACUCUUCCUCUAUUGUUUGUUAACCUGCACAACCAUUUACACACUGAUUUUUGAGCAGAUGCUGCAUCUCUUCAGGUACUUCAUUCAUAAAACUGUGCAUCUAUGAUUUAUAAUCAGAACACUUAUAAAUCCAUUGUUUUUUCGUCCGAACUACAUUAUGAGGUUUGUACUUAUUCAAGGUUUUUGCGUUGGGAAAAAAAUGUUGAUUUAUGUCUGUUCUGAAUAUAAAUCCCACCUGCAGGGAUUUGUCUGCAGAAGAGUUCCUCCCCAUUGUCCUCCUACUACUCCGUCCACAAUCAUGCAUAAAUGGUCAUGCUAAUCAUCUCAUGAAUAUGGUAAUGAGAUUAAGAAUUACGUGUUGGACUGUCAAUGAUGCAAGACUGCAACUCCAAAGACAAAAGCAAUAUAUUUUCCAAAUAGCGCCGAGCGCCGUAAAAACAUUUGUUUUGGAGGGCUAAGUGAGGACAUACCUAAUAAAAAAUUAUUGGAAUUUUGAAUGUCAAUAUUUGACCAAUCAAGAUGUCAGAUCCACAAUGACUGAGAACUGUUACUGAGAUGAGGACAACAUGUUCACAUUUUAAAGCUAUGUUUGAAAGUCUUCGUCCAAAUAAUGGAUCUAUUAUUUAUAAGUAUUUAUUUUGUCAAGUAAUACAACGCAGACAUUGUGUUGCAAGACUUAAGUAUUCAUCAUGAGCAUUUGGCAUGCAGACGGGAUUAUUUCAAUAUAUUAUUGGCACAAUAAAUAUGUUUUUUCUACAA
Molecule: long non-coding RNA, 2003 nt
Organism: Nerophis ophidion (straightnose pipefish)
Lineage: Eukaryota; Metazoa; Chordata; Actinopteri; Syngnathiformes; Syngnathidae
Exons: 2
Source: RefSeq, a predicted model, not a curated record